AUAAGUAAGGUUGGUCAUGCCUCUGGUAUGUACUGGUCUCACUGAUUCCUCCUUCCUGAUGAACCGUAAUGCCAUUAAUUUGGUGUUGCGGGGAAUUUGGACUGUUACUUUGAAAAAAUUAGAGUGUUUAAAGCAAGCUAACGCUUGAAUACAUUAGCAUGGAAUAAUGAAAUAGGACGUUCCAUCCUAUUUUGUUGGUUUCUAGGAUUGACGUAAUGAUUAAUAGGGAUAGUUGGG
This 237-nucleotide ribosomal RNA is filed under the name uncultured Glomeromycotina. Its description in RNAcentral is "partial 18S ribosomal RNA". The stretch from base 39 to 237 matches the Rfam family "Eukaryotic small subunit ribosomal RNA", at positions 686 to 886 of the family's 1831-position model. The record is from RNAcentral. Lineage: Eukaryota; Fungi; Glomeromycota.